Long non-coding RNA from Olea europaea var. sylvestris, 2764 nucleotides. RefSeq lists it as uncharacterized. The transcript has 3 exons. Lineage: Eukaryota; Viridiplantae; Streptophyta; Magnoliopsida; Lamiales; Oleaceae. The record is from RefSeq and is a predicted model, not a curated record.
GAGCACAUAUACAACAUUGGUAAUCGCUGUGAUGUGAAGGUUACAACACGUCCUAACGUGUUAAAUGUACAAAAAGUAUAUAAUGCAUUAGAUGACGUCCAAAAGGAGAUUUUUUGAAGUCGUGCUUUGGUAAACUAUACAACAUCAGGAACAUAAAAAUAUCUGCCCAAAUAAUUCACAACUUGUUAUUACGAAAGGUUCAUUGCCUGCAUUGCCUUCUCGAUUAGUAAUGUACAAUGACUCUUUCCUUUCUGCUUCCACUCCACCCUCCAUCCAGUAGAUCUUCACUUGGCUAGGAUUCUACGAGGAGAAACUAUGGUCUUUUUUUAUGGGAUGAAAAAGCUGCCCGUUUCUUCCUAUAUAAGUUUACGCUCAUCACGGGAUUAAACCCUGCUGAUGAUGAGGGAUAUCAAAACCAAAUAGAUGAAAAAAAUAAUAGAUUGGCACAUAAAUGCUUCCCAGCAUGUAGUAAGGUUAUGCCAAAACAAUUGAAUGAGACUUUUGAGAAAGAGAUAGAAGACAUGGAUGAGAAAUACAAAUUGGGUCUAGUACUUAUAUACGAGACUAUGCUGAGAUCUAAAGAAAAAAAAUACAUCUAUUGAUCUUCAAACAUUAAAUAUAGUUGGUGAUUUGGAGCUAUUCAAUAGAUAUCCAUGGGAAAGAAAAUGUUUCAAGUUUACAAUACACGAUUUUCCUUAGACUGUUAAAGAAUCCAAAGUCUAAAUAUUCUUUAUGGGGAUUUCCACUAGUAAAACUAGUAAAUGACAAAAACUUGUGACUUAAACAUCAUCUUUGUUUGAUUUUAAUUAUUUGCAAAUAAUUUAUAUAUCUUCUUUUAGUCAUAGGCAUUUGAGGCUAUUCCACAAAUAGCAAACAUGUAUCAAGCUAGGUUGCCUAUCAAUGGGCUGCGAAGAAUGUGUCGUUGGAAGUCAAUAAUUACUCCUAAUUCUAGGGAUAUUGCUAAAACCUUGGACGACCCACAAGUGAGUAUAUCUUCUAUAAGGUAAUUACUUCUAUUCAUUACCUCUAAUGUUGCUAAAAAGGAUUUUUUUUGUCAAAUUUCAGCUCGAAGUCCGUUGCUCAUUGACGUCUACUCUCAAUGAGACUGAGCAACAAUAUGUGACUUUAUUCGUUCAUGGAACUAAAAAAGAAUAUCCAAUCUUAGAUACUUAUCUCUACAAGGAUAGAGGAUACCCCAAGGUUAGUUAUGCAGAACUAGAUGAUGAUCUAGAUCCACCAUAGAGAUAGAGGGAGAGAGUCUCUCAGAAAAUGGGUGAUGAUGAUGUAUGUGUAUAGUUCAGGGAUUGUUCGUGUACAUCAGCCUUCUAUUCCUACAAGUCGAAGACCUCUACGCAAUCGUCGAGCUUCUUGUGAUCACGAUGAUAUGUUGAGACAAUUGUUGUACCACGUGGAGAGGUUAUCUGAUAAAUAUGAAGAGAUAAAUAGGAAGGUCGAUACUAUAAUGGAUUGGAUGAGAUCGAGCCAAUAUCUUGACAUAAACCAUUCAUUUAGGGCUAAUGAAGUAUUUGGGACCGAGUGAGAUAACCAUGAGGAAGUCGGAAGGAAGAUGGAGAUAGAGGACACUAUGAGGAAAACUAAGGCAAUGGACCUAUGGGGGAGUUUAAGGCAGGAAGCGCUGUGAUGGAGAUAGUGGUAGGAGUCAUUGAGAGGGGGGCUUAGACAUGGGAGAUUGGGAGGGAGCAUGCGACAGGGAAUGAGGUGGGAGACUGAAGCAGGGGGCACUGUGAUAGAGACUAUAGCAGGGAAUAUUGAGUGGAGGAUGGAUAUACUUGACAUUGAUGUGGGGAAUAAUGAGAGCUCAGGGAUGUACACUAAGGUUUUUACUUGCAAAAAGAGAAGUUCAGAUAAAACUUAUCAACAAAUUGAUGCCCUGGUGCGAGAUAAAAUUAAAAAACUUCAAAGUUAGUUUCCUCUCCAUACAAGACUGGAGCUAAGUGGAGAAGAUAUGUUGACAACACGUGUUGAUCUUUUUCAGGAUGUUGACCCAAUUAAGAAGAAGUAUUUCUCUAAAUGGCACUCUAAUUUAGGUGAUAGGCUUGGGCAACAAAAUAUUCCAAAUCAUUUGGUGGUUCGCGAGCUAUUCUGGACGUGCAAUUUAAUAUUGAAUUGACCUUCGCUAUGUUUGAUAUACUUGAGUGAGGAAAUUGUUUCAGAAUGACGGUAGAGCUAAUGGAAUAUAUCACCUGGGCAAAGCCAUCAUUUGGAAGUAAAUGGCAAGAAUGUACCCACGUAUACUUUUCGUUAUGUACUCGCAGAUGUUGGCUCGCAGUUGAGAUUGACUUUUACAAAGCGAUAAUAUUUGUGUAUGAUCCUGAUAAGGAUUGCAUUACAAACGAUCAACUCAAAGAUAAGUUGAGGGCCGCUUGUAUCAUUGUCCCGCUACUUUUAAAGGAAAUCAACAUCGAUUUAGAGACAAAUACUCUUACUAUAGAAAGGACCACUAAACAAGCCGUUUCGUAAGUUUUUUAUUAAAAUUAAAUAUUCACUUGUUCAUAUUCAUUUAGCUAUUUCACUUCGUUUACCAUUAUUUAUUAUCUUUCAGUGGUGAUUGUGGUAUGUAUGUAGCAAAAUAUAUAGAAUGCUUGAGCAUCAAAGGUCCAAUAGAACAAGUUAAUGGCUUCUAUGUGAAUAGAUGGAGAGAAAAGAUGGCUGCCAAUAUUUUUGCCCUUGAUUAUGAACCUUAGAAACUUUUGAUGUAUUUGUAUAUGUAUAAGUGUAAAUAUAAUUUUAUAGUGUAUGUUGA